This 655-nucleotide ribosomal RNA is filed under the name uncultured marine eukaryote. Its description in RNAcentral is "SSU rRNA". It matches the Rfam family "Eukaryotic small subunit ribosomal RNA", at positions 1 to 666 of the family's 1831-position model. The record is from RNAcentral.
AACCUGGUUGAUCCUGCCAGUAGUCAUAUGCUUGUCUCAAAGACUAAGCCAUGCAUGUCUAAGUAUAAAUGUUAUACAGUAAAACUGCGAAUGGCUCAUUAAAACAGUUAUAGUUUAUUUGGUACUCGAUUUACAUGGAUAACCGUGGUAAUUCUAGAGCUAAUACAUGCUUUAAAGCCCGACUUCUCGGAAGGGCCGUAUUUAUUAGAUAACAGACCAAUAUUCCUCGUGUCUAUUGUGGUGAGUCAUAGUAACUUUUCGGAUCGCAUGGGCUUUGUCCCGCGACAAACCAUUCAAAUUUCUGCCCCAUCAGCUUUCGAUGGUAGUGUAUUGGACUACCAUGGCUUUCACGGGUAACGGAGGAUUAGGGUUCGAUUCCGGAGAGGGAGCCUGAGAAACGGCUACCACUUCUAAGGAAGGCAGCAGGCGCGUAAAUUACCCAAUUCUAAUUCAGAGAGGUAGUGACAAGAAAUAACGGGUCGGGCCUUCGGGUCUGGGACUGCAAUGAGACGAAUUUACACCCCUUUUCGAGCAUCAAUUGGAGGGCAAGUCUGGUGCCAGCAGCCGCGGUAAUCCAGCUCCAAUAGCGUAUAUUAAAGUUGUUGCAGUAAAAAGCUCGUAGUGGAUUCUGGUGCAUGCCUGGACCUCUGAUGUA